GCCCAAAGUGAAGAAUUUGGUUCUGCUGCUGAGUAACCACGAAGGGUUGGCCAGUCCCAAUGAUGCGCAGCCCGGCUUGAGCACCCUGAGCCCGGCUGCUGGGGGGCUGAGCCCCAAAGCCCUCAGCCAGGUGCUGCUGCUGGGCCCCAAAAGUGACCCAGGCAGAAACCUGAGCCUGGCUCCACGAGUGUCCCCAUGAUGGGCUCACUCCUACUGCUGGUGACCACAGCCCAGUGAGAGCACGGCCAGGUCUGGCCUCGUCUCUGCGAUGCCAUAAAUAAUGCACGAGCCUCUGCGCACAGACCCAGGGAAAACACGUGAGCUCGCAGCCUUCUGACGUGGGAGAAAACAAGUUUAGAGGUUGCAGGUACUUUUUCUCCUCGUACCCACUGGAAAGUAGAAGUUGGUGAAGCCAAAGGAACACAUCCAAGGGCGGAUGGUUGUGCCACCAGCCCUGAGUUUCUGCAGCAAAAGGAUUUGGGCUCAUCUCCAGUCGGAUCAGAAAGCAGUCCCAUCUGACCUUGACCAACCACAGAAAACUAAGCCAGCUGAGAUAGCCAGGAAGAGAUCUCUGGUGAUGGAGAGCAGAAAUCUAUGGAGAGCCGCAGAAGAACGGGUUGGCUAUUUGGAAAGAAAAGGAAUUGUGUAGAAAACAAAAUAUUUUUGGGGAAGGAUAGACCACAACUGGGAAAAAAACAAACAAACUCUGCAAUACUGCCGUGUGAAUAGGAGAAUGAGGAGAAGAGGAGGAGAACCCGGAGCGGCCAUGGGGCACAGCAGGGAGGAGUGAGCUGUGCCCGGGUGCUGCACACGUGCACCACAGUCAGUGCCUGUCCCAUGGGGGAGCUCAGGGCUGCUCCUGACCACAUGAAGGGCUCUGGGUUGGGCGUACCCGGGACUGUUCUGAGAUGCUGUAGUGGUCCAUCGCCACCCUGCCUUUCUGCACUAGGCACAGGCCCCUUCCUUAAGGCUGCUCAGACAAAAUCCUUGCUCCCAACGCCUCCAAUACCUGGCCCCAUAGCCAACAUCCUCCUCCGGCUUACCACACUCCCUUCUGCUCAUCAGACAACCUCAAGGACAGGGCAUUCUUAGCUACCCAGGCACCUACCCAAGUUCCCCUUGCAGCGUCUGACCCCAAACUUGGCAAAACCAAUACAGAUAUUACAGAAGGUUCGUUGCACGCCCAUAGCAGCGCACUGCAGGCAGCCACGGCUUGCCCUGCUUGAGCAGAUCAAAGCCACGUCAAGCCCAAUGCAAUAAGCACUGCUGAACAGCAAGAGACGUGAAGCCGGCCUUGGUGCUAUGCAGUGUGGUCACACGGCUUCCAGAUGUGGACAGCCCGAGCUCCUGCCUGCCCUGAGCCACCCUGUAGCCGGGGGCUGCCUGUAGACUGAAAGGCAGAGUGCAGAAAUAAAGCUGCUCUCCACCUCUUUCUGGUUAAAUCGCUCUGCAGCUUGCAGAGCUCCACCAAGGACAAUUAUUUCCAGCAUGUGCCGUGCGUGAAUGCUGCAAGCAAGGCAGAGCUGGAGUUUCAUCAUAGCCCGGCUUUGUGCGCAGAGCAGAGAAGGAGGGGAAAAAAAAUCAAAAAGGAACUUGGAACUGAUGGCCCCCCAGCCUCACCCUGAUCCCGAGGAGGCUCCGCUCUGCUCUUGCUCAACCCGACAUCGAGAAUGAGGAAGUGGAGGAGACAGGCGGGGGAGGCGGAGGAACGGUCAAACUGAAGACAAACAGCCCCCGAGCUGCAGGGCUGGGAAAAAGCUCCAUGAGCAAGAGGGCACGGGAGCAAAGAGCACCCUGCAUCCAUGCUGAACCCCGUCCCCAUGCGGCGGUCCCCGAGGUUUGGGUAACCAGAGUUCAGGUCUCCCAGGAGCCGGUUUCCAGCACCCAGACCUGCAACCCCUGCAGCACAUGGGGAUGGCACAGCCUGGCCGUGGUAGGGCCGUGCCGAGCCGUGCUGAGCCAGCCCCAGCCGGCCCGCUGCCUGCCUUGCUCAGCAACAGCCAGCUUUCAGCACAGCCCGCAGCUCGCUCGCUCGCCUCCGUGCUCCUGAAUACCAGGAACCACACCACCACGUUGGCUGCAAACAGGAGUUGGCAUAAAAAAUUAAAACCCAGGCAGGCGCGAGGUGCUGCAGGUGGCUGCUGCAGCCUGGGGCCCUCGUUGGUCCCUGUGCCCCUGGUCCCACCACCUCUGUCACCAUCCCCAUCCAUGCAGGCACUCUGCAAUUCAUCCUGCCCCAGGGGAGGAAGAAGCACAGGUGAAGCAGCCCUAAGCUGCAUGGUCCAAGGAUGGUGGGGCAGCACCCAGCGGGGUGCUUUCUGCUGCUUUGUCCUUCCACUCGCUAGGGCAGCCAGGAGUUGCCCUGACCUUAUCCCUCUUACAGCAAAAACAACAUAGCAGAGACAUUAAGGGUGUGUGGGAGAUCCCUAAAGGGGUUCCCAGUACUGCAGCUGAGGAGAAGAUCAGGACCUGUGGCCCGUAAGGUAAACCCCACAAACAUUUUCUAUUCUCUUCAGGACAAGCAGGGAACCGAGGCACCAGCAUGGGUAAGUGGGAGGGAAAUGAAGGGCUCCUGGCCCACCCAGCUUAGGGCAGCAAAGAUAGCAAGAGCCAUUGCUGGAGCUGCUAAAACUUAUCCCAGAGAUUUAAUGUUUCUCAGGGAAAGCGGCAAAUCCCAUGGGAAGGAGCACCGCAUGAGGACCAAGGAAGGGAACUAAACCCAGACAGGGAGCAGACGGAGUGCAAACCCAGCAAAGCCCUGGGGAAAGGAAAGCCAGCAAAGCUUUGAGAACAAGAGGUUUCUUUCCCUUUCAUCCCGCUGUGAUAGUUGGGGUGAGGGAGCCGACACCCAGUGCCAGGAGCAGAGCCUGAUGGAGGAGCUCAUGGGAAGGCAGCAGAGCAGCAGGACCUGCGUGAUCGCCCACAGCAAGCAGCAGUUCCAGCAAGCGUACACCCAGCCUGCAUCUCAGAAGCAUUCUGCAUCCAGAGCAUCCCUGAAAGGGAGAGCUCAUUGCCAAAACCCAGGAGCUCCGCCUGCCCAGGGUUUGCAUUUUCAUUUUGGCUGGGAAACUGGAAAAAUACAGACCUGAGAAGGCAAUUCCCCCAGCCCAUCACUGAUCUCUGACCCUGCAGUGCUGGGCUGGCACUGGGAGUCUCUUGGUUUCUGCAGUGCUGGGGGGUGGCAUGGCAGCUUUCACAAAUGGGGCCGAGGGAAUUGCGAAGUGCCAGGACAGGGACUGGGUGUGCCUGAAUGGUACCCUUUGUCCACACCUCUGAGUUACCCAAAACCAGGGAACCUGUCCCUGCCUUUCCCUGCAGCCCCAUCCCCAGGACCCGGCCAGGAGCCCCUCUUAGCAACAGCCCUGGAUUGAAAGAAAAUAAAUGCAAUUCUGCUGAGAGGGGAGGAAAAAAAAAUAAAGGCAUAAAGGAUGUGCCUCUCCAGCUCCUCCUCCCCUCCCAGAAACCUGUGUGCUAUGCAAAUAUAUGCAAAUACAGCACCGAAAGGGGGAUGAAACUGGCUCUCUAUACCAGCAUGGUUUGAGACUGGGAAGGAUUGGAAGCAGCUUGUUGGAAACUUGGGGAAGAAAUAGCUACAGGAUGAGAGGGACAAGCAAUGAGGGCUGCAGGGCGCACAUCCCCAAACCCAUCCGGCACAGCAGCACGCAGCCCCAGCCCUCCUUCUCAGCAUCCCAUUGGUGCAGGUGACACGGAAACACUUGCAAAACCCCUUUUCCCUCCGCAAAAGGAGAGGAAAAAAAAAAAAAAAAGCCCCAAACUUGCUUUGCUGCUGUUUACAAUUCCCACCUGAGAAGAGACAGCGCCGCAUGUUUGCUGCCAUGGCGUUGUGCCCCAAGCAGGGACAGCAGCUGCGGACGGAGCCGGGUCGUGCUCUGCGAGGCGGGCGCUUCCCCCAGGUACUGCCGGAGUGACACCUAUCUUACAUGAGGAAUGGGCUCGUAUGAAUUCCAGCUCAUUUGUUCCAGGCAAUUUAUCCGGCCCAGCGUUGCCUUGUUUGACUCCCUACAAUGAAGAUCAACAGCUUCAAGAGAAGUUCUUGUGACUGGGCAGGACACAACAGUCUCCUGACAUCAACGUGCAGUAAGCAACCAAUGCUGAUGCAAAUCCCAUCUGCUGUAAUCAUGACAUCACCCCUAAUUAUAUAAUGAAUGAGGAUCUCACCACCUGCAGAGUCCUGACGUCACCAGCAGAGCUGGAGAAAGGUCCAGAGCAGGAUGAUCAAACAGUGAGUCCGUAGGAGGAGGACCUCAGCCUGGAAACCAAGCAGCUAGAGAGGCACAUCUGGCCUCAAAAAGGUGAACCAAGUUUGAUUGCUCACUACGUCUCCCAAUAAAAGAAUUAGGAGAUACCCAAUGACAUUAAGAGGCAGCAGAUUCAAAAGGAGCAAGAGAAAAUGGCUCUUCACAUGCUAUGUGGUUAAACAGUGGAAGUCCUCACCACAGCUCUCAGGGGACGAUUAAAGCUUCUGCAUUUACAAAAAAAAUCAACCAGACAAAUUUCAUGGGGAAUCCAGGGAGGGGUAUUAAAGGCAAAAUGCUGCCUGGUUGGGGAAGUCCCUGAGCUGCCACGUGCUUGGGGCUGGGAGCGUGCACAAGAGGCACAGCCCUGCCCGGAUCUGCGGUGGGGACAUCCUCUACCAUUCCUUGCAUGGAAUGGAGACAGCAGGUGACAUCUCCAAGCCAGACCCUACAAUCCCAGCAGCCUGCUGUGUCUCCAAGCCCCACCUCGGGAGGUGCCAAACCCAUGCGAGUUGCAAAGUCCAUAAGCAGUGGGACCACUCAGUGCUGUCAGUGUGCUGCUCCCAGGACCCUGGCAGGAGCCAGGCUGGGUGCACAGCUCCAGUCCUCGGGACAGCGGCUGCAUGCGUCCCCGCGAGCAGCAUCCCUCACACAGGCAGGCGCACAGAGUCCAUGCACGUAGCAAUCCCAAUUAAACCCAACUACAUCGCAAAGGGCCCUGGCAGUGCUGCAUUUAUCAGGCUGCCUGGAAGGGGCUUGUGCAAGCUGUCCCCCCGGCUGAUGGAUUAGACAGCAGACAAUUAGGUUUCAGACACACACACACACACACACACACACGCAAGCACACGCACGCACACAAAUCCUUUUCUCCAUCCAUCUGCAAGGCCAAGGCGGCUGAGCACAGCUGUGCGGCUGUCCAGUGCUUCUGAAGCUGCGUGCAGCUGAAUAAGAAAAAGCCCCCGCGCCUCGGCUUUCAGCGGCUGCUUGCAAAAUGAGCGAGAGGUCCCCAAAGAGAUGACACAAUUGCAAUGGAAAUGAUUAACCCUUCGCAGGUUGGUUUUGUUGCUCCGUACCGCGGCAGCCAAGCCUGGCCACGAACUCCCACUCGUUGGGUUUCAAGGACAAAGCCACAGCAACUCAGUGCUCAGCCAGCUAAACUGUGGCGGGGACGAGCAUGCUCCCGCGUCCGUGUUUCAUGGCAGCAAUCUGGGAUUUUGGGGAUCAUUUUAGACAUCUCCCUGCCAGGGUAUUCCCAGCUCCUCUAAGCAGGGAUGCUCUCUCCACACACGCAUCGCUUCUGCAAACAUCCCACCUAAAGCAUCCCCUCCUGGUGCCUGAGAGCAGACACCACAGUUGCUACACCCGGAUCCCAGCCAGCUUCGCUCCUCUGAUUGCCCCUUUCGAGGGCUGCUCGGAACAAUAAUUCAAUACCAGAAAAAAUUAAUUGCGACAUUAAAUGGCUGCGAUGGAAAAGGAACAAACUGGGGGGGCUUCUGAAAGGCGAAGCGUGCACGCCUGCUCCGGGAGAUCUCCGAUGGAAUCAACAAAACAAUGGAUAUAAGGAAAAAAAAUCAGUAGAUAUAAUUUGUUAGGAUUGCCCUAAAGCCUGUGAUAAAAUCCCACAUGCUACUGAGGAAGCCAGGAAUUACUGGGCAACACGUAAAAUGCUGCCAGGAGCAGGAAGCAGCAAAGUGCCAGCAUGCAGCAGCACAGGGGCAAUGCCCCUCUCUGUGGGCAGGACAGGAAAGCUAGAGGUGUGACCUUGCUCCACAUGCAGCUUCCCACAGACAGGGGUCUGCCUGUCGUGCCAUGCAAGCAGGGAUGAGAGGGCAGUCAGCAGCUCCAUCCCUCCAUCACUCACAUGUACUUGAGUUUGAUAAGCCGAACGUGACACCAAGACUGCGUCAGUCCUUGGCCUCAGCCCUUGCACUCACAACCCUUGAUCUCUCCUUCCAAGCCAUCUUUCAGCUGUAUGUCUGGAAAGAGCCCAAGGAGAGAAGCCUCCCAUCUUACAUUUGGUGUGGGACACACGGGGGGAGAGGAUCCUCGCCAAUGAUGCUCAGCUUCCUGGAAACUACACCACGGUCUCAUUUUUCUUGCCAUUUUUGAAGAUCGCAUCACAAGAUCCCAUCCCAGUGCGUGUGAUCUUGCAGAGCCAACUCCAAGAUGACAAACACUCAGGUAGAAACGGCCACAUAGGCAACUCAGCCCAUUCCUCAAAUCAAUGAGAAUUUUUUUGAGGUUUCCUUUCGCUAAAUAUAGAUGUAAGCCCUAGCAUUACAAGAUAUAUCAUCCACUAUGGUAAGAAGAAACUCUCCAGAUGCAUCAGAGAACGUCUACAUGUUUGCCAAGGAAGAUUGCUGCGCUCUCCAAGCUCUGUUUAUUAUUAGUAGCAUAAGACUGGACACAAGGAUGGCUCUGACCUCCCAGAGGUCAUGUGCCUUGCACAUGAAUUUAGGACUGAGUGGAGGCUGCAGCAUUCAUCAUCUGCGAGCAGCCAGUUCCACCCCAUGUGUGAGCUCCUCCAUCUCUAAAGCCAUUGCAUUUCUCACCUGUUCCAAUGGGUCCACCCCAGAGCAUCAUCCCUCCCCUCCCUCAGCUCCACUGUUCUCCCCCUAAGCAUAUUCACGGGCAGUUUAAAGUCAUUUGAUUGCAUGCCAACAAUAUCUGCCAGUGGAACAGCUCAUCUCCCACCCCAGUGCUCCAUUUCCCAUGGUCUAUCUGCUUUGCAAAGCGGAGUUUGAAGAGUCUCAGGAGAUGGGCCAUUCACUGCACCUCCUUGGGGACUCAGCCAUCAUAUCUUGUAUCAAUCCAUAAACCACCCCUUCAGAUUUAUCAAGGUCCUAUAGUUUUCCUUCUGCAGCCCUAAGCAUGGUAUCAGAGAGAAUUUCCUGUUAACUACGCAACACUUUCCUCUCCUUGUUUUAUCCCAUUAUCCAUCGUUACAUCUCCUGGACCACUCUAAAUAAUUACUCAGCUGUGUGUUUAUGACCUUCAGAUAUUUGUCCAUCCUUGGUUUAAGUGAACUCUUAUUCAAGCCACCCUUAACAUUUAGACUGCACAGAGAAAUGCUUAUGUACAGAGACCUUCCAGGAUGGGGAAGAGAGAAAGUAGCAGCUUCCCAGGCUCUGUUGCACAGGCUGGGAAACUGAGGCAUAAGGAGACAGCCACAGAUUGAUC
Gallus gallus (chicken) is the source of this 7436-nucleotide long non-coding RNA. NCBI's taxonomy places the organism in Eukaryota, Metazoa, Chordata, Aves, Galliformes, Phasianidae. The record is from Ensembl.